GUCGGAGUGGCGGAAUUGGCAGACGCGCACGUUUGAGGGGCGUGUGGUACAACCGUGCGGGUUCAAGUCCCGCCUCCGACACCA
This 84-nucleotide transfer RNA is filed under the name Syntrophomonadaceae bacterium. RNAcentral's name for it is "tRNA-Leu". It matches the Rfam family "tRNA". Rfam says of the family: Transfer RNA (tRNA) molecules are approximately 80 nucleotides in length. Lineage: Bacteria; Bacillati; Bacillota; Clostridia; Eubacteriales; Syntrophomonadaceae. RNAcentral also lists the same sequence under 3 other names. The record is from RNAcentral.